Hydractinia symbiolongicarpus is the source of this 1609-nucleotide long non-coding RNA. RefSeq lists it as uncharacterized. The record is from RefSeq and is a predicted model, not a curated record. The transcript is spliced from 3 exons. NCBI's taxonomy places the organism in Eukaryota, Metazoa, Cnidaria, Hydrozoa, Anthoathecata, Hydractiniidae.
AGGCUGUAAGAAUUUAAGUUGCAGAUAAAGUAAAUAAAGUGUACCAGGAGCAAGAAAAUGGCAACAGGAUUAAUGACAGUUUGAUUAUGUGGCAUUUGUGGGGAAGUCAAUUGUUCCAAAAUUACAGAUGAAAAAUAUUCUUGAUAGCAACGACCGCAUGCUGAUGAUGAUAUACAAUGAAUACAAAAUGAAUUCCGGUACACACUUCCUGACGCUUGCAUGCACACAUAUACGAAAUAUCGCUUGCCAUUAUAUUAUUUAAACAACAUAACCAUAAUCGAUAAACUACAGCUAAUUAUGAACACGCUUGAUAUUGCAUAUUUUUUGUAUGAUUAGAUUUUAAUAUAAUAAGGUCGCCACAAUAUAACAGCUUUCUUCAACAAAUAAACAUAAUUAUUUAAAUUUUUUGUAGGUGUUUUUUAUCUUAUGUUGCGUUGCACACGUUGAUCAAACUGAUAUAUCGUUUAAAUAUUCCUUUCUAACAGGAUUGCAUAUAUACCGAGUUUCUACACAAAUUGUUACAACGUGUCAAAUAUAAAAGUAUUAAGAACGUUAGGGAUUUAAACUUAACUAAAACAAGGAUUUUUUUACAAUGCGUCACAUUUUAAAUACGACAGACAAAUUCUUGCAUUAGGGAGGUGCUACUGAAAAAUAUUUCUUAUUCGUUCUUUUUUUGUUACUAAGAUGCGUUGAUUAAGCGCUUUUAUCACAUAAGCGCUCUGUUUAGAUCAAAAAUGUUAAAAACUUAACUUAUUUCACAACUUUUCCUUCAAGGCUGCACUACAACAAUGUUUCCUUUUCUUUUUUUAAUUAAUUGCUCUCCUCUUUCUCCACACCUCCAUAGUUUUACAUCCGAACAUCGAUAAUUAAAUCUUCAGUUUUUUUGCGCAAAAUAUAAGGUGGUAGCCUUUUAAUGGCCAACGGAAGAAUAUUGUUGGGGAAAGUUUAAGCUGUCUUACAUUGCUCGAGUCCCAAAAUUGCUUUCAUGACAAAAGAUUAUUUGAUUCCAUGUAUUUCGAAAGUUGUUGAUGAAUACAUUUCUCGAUUAUCUGUGGAAAAACAAGCAGAACCCUUUUGCAAUUUCUUUUUAUUUGCGGUCUCGGUUCCGUUUAGCGUUUAAUAUAGUCCUUUUUUGCCUUCGCAGGAAAGAGAUUUUUCAAGCAUUUUCAGAAAGUUUCAAACUUGAAAUAUUGUCUUGGAGUUGAUUUUUACAGUAUUCUAUCUCGGCUUUUUUGAUUAGAAUAUUUACGUAGUUUUUCUUCCGCUAAUAGACCGACGUCGCAAUCUUAACCUGACUUUCUUGCUUUUCGUAAUAAAUUGCGUGUUGUAUUGUCCCUAACUCAUCUAGACUGUUUCUGAAUUAUAAUGUUUGUAAUUUCGACUCGUUAAUUUCUUUGGAGCGAAUUUUGUAACAAAUUUCUUUUUGAUACAGUCAACCGUGUCGUGAUCGCUUAGACUGGAUGAAAGCGUUUUACCAUGUGAAAUGGUGUUCGGACAAUUUGAUAGUACAACGUCUGUUAAAGUUGCACUAUUUUCGGUUAUUUUCGUUGGUUGUGUAAUUAUUUGUUUGAAACCAAAGGUAGUGAAUAUAUCUUUUAUCUCUAUGUGA